Loxodonta africana (African savanna elephant) is the source of this 160-nucleotide small nuclear RNA. Its record names the gene U1. It matches the Rfam family "U1 spliceosomal RNA". From Rfam's summary of the family: U1 is a small nuclear RNA (snRNA) component of the spliceosome (involved in pre-mRNA splicing). Its 5' end forms complementary base pairs with the 5' splice junction, thus defining the 5' donor site of an intron. Lineage: Eukaryota; Metazoa; Chordata; Mammalia; Proboscidea; Elephantidae. The record is from Ensembl.
AUACUUGCCUGGCAAGGGAGAUACCGCAAUCACGCAGGUGGUUUUCCCAGGGCAAGGCUUAUCCAUUGUACUCAGGAUGUGCUGACCCCUGUGAUUUCCCCAAAUGUGGGAAACUCAACUGCACAACGUGUGGUAGUGGGGACUGCGUUUGCACUUUUUG